AGAGUUUGAUCAUGGCUCAGGACGAACGCUGGCGGCGUGCCUAAUACAUGCAAGUCGAGCGAAGUGGAGGGAGCUUGCUCCCAAAGCUUAGCGGCGAACGGGUGAGUAACACGUAGGCAACCUGCCCGAUAGACCGGGAUAACUUGGGGAAACUCAAGCUAAUACCGGAUAGGAUUUCAGACCGCAUGGUCUGAAAUGGAAAGUCUGAACGACACUAUCGGAUGGGCCUGCGGCGCAUUAGCUAGUUGGUGGGGUAAUGGCCUACCAAGGCGACGAUGCGUAGCCGACCUGAGAGGGUGACCGGCCACACUGGGACUGAGACACGGCCCAGACUCCUACGGGAGGCAGCAGUAGGGAAUCUUCCACAAUGGGCGAAAGCCUGAUGGAGCAACGCCGCGUGAGUGAUGAAGGUUUUCGGAUCGUAAAACUCUGUUGUUAGGGAAGAACACCCGGGAGAGGAUCCCGGUUUGACGGUACCUGACGAGAAAGCCCCGGCUAACUACGUGCCAGCAGCCGCGGUAAUACGUAGGGGGCAAGCGUUGUCCGGAAUUAUUGGGCGUAAAGCGCGCGCAGGCGGCUUAUUAAGUCUGAUGUGAAAGCCCACGGCUCAACCGUGGAGGGCCAUUGGAAACUGGUAAGCUUGAGUGCAGGAGAGGAGAGCGGAAUUCCUGGUGUAGCGGUGAAAUGCGUAGAUAUCAGGAGGAACACCCGUGGCGAAGGCGGCUCUCUGGCCUGUAACUGACGCUGAGGCGCGAAAGCGUGGGGAGCAAACAGGAUUAGAUACCCCCGUAGUCC
This 795-nucleotide ribosomal RNA is filed under the name uncultured bacterium. RNAcentral describes it as "bacterial SSU rRNA". It matches the Rfam family "Bacterial small subunit ribosomal RNA", at positions 8 to 796 of the family's 1533-position model. The record is from RNAcentral.